CCCACGAAGUAUACUUGACCUGUUAUCAUCUGUCUUCAAUUACUAGUUAUUAAAGCCUAAUAACUACAAGCCUGUCUCCGACUCAUCUUGGGGAACGUUACAUUGGUGUCAGAAGUGAACUUUUAGAACAAGGGACGUCUAUCCGGACGAGAGUCGUAACUGCGUCACGGAGCUAGCCGGUAAGCUAGCGGGGAUGGAGAAGUUCAGCAAGAUGGGAGUGAAGCAGGAACACAGUAGUGAUGAAGAGGAAGAUGGAGCAUGCGGGUGGUCGAAGGAAAUGAGAGAGGAGUUCAUGAGUGCACGGGAGGUGAGAGAGCGCCUGAGAGAGUCGGCGGUGAGGAUGGCUAGAGACGCGGGAAUGUCUCCGUCUUCUGCGACAGUUCGCGCCAUUUCCAAGCUGGAGGUAAACAACAAUGGCGGCGCCCAUCAACCCGCAGCAGCCGCCGCCGGGUCAGUGAAAACACCCAAAUUCUCGGGUAAGGCAGACUGGGAGGCUGUCCAAUUUGAACUGCUUGCUCAUGCCGGGAGGUGGUCAGUAGAGACUAAAGCACUACAGCUAGCCUUGUGCCUCACAGAAGAGGCUCUUUCAUGUCUGCUACUACUUAGCCCUGUGGACCGACUCAGCUAUGGAGCGUUAGCGGGGGCUUUGAAGAGGCGGUUUGGACAGUGUUUCCCGCCAGAGCUACUCCGGAACGAGUUGAGUAACCGCUGUAGAGAGUUUGGAGAGACGCUGCGUGCACUGGCUAACAACGUGGAGAGCCUGCCGCCGCGGGCGUAUGCACACAUUCCACCCAGAGUACAGAGUGAGCUGGCACGUGAUCAGUUCAUCAGGGCGAGAUUGUUGCAGCAGAGCAUGGGAACGCCCCGGGGGGCCCUUCCCAUGCUCUGCUGCAACAAUCUCCCGUCGGGGACCCGAUGGAGAGAGUAGCGGUUGAUGUGGUGGGGCCGCUACCCUUGUCGAACAGGGGUAACCGCUACGUUCUCACGGCCAUAGACUACUUCACAAAGUGGACAGAGGCGUAUGCGCUCCCUGACCAAGAAGCAGAGACAGUCGCGGAUGCCUUGGUGUCCGGUAUGUGCACGGGAGGUGAGAGAGCGCCUGAGAGAGUCGGCGGUGAGGAUGGCUAGAGACGCGGGAAUGUCUCCGUCUUCUGCGACAGUUCGCGCCAUUUCCAAGCUGGAGGUAAACAACAAUGGCGGCGCCCAUCAACCCGCAGCAGCCGCCGCCGGGUCAGUGAAAACACCCAAAUUCUCGGGAAUCACUGAAGUGUGACAUCUUUCAACGACAGCAUGAUCGACUAACACACAUCCUGGAGAGGACACCUGUAGACAUCGAAGGGUUAGAGUUUGCGUGCCGUCAGGAUUGUGUUCUAUUAAGUGCUCUGGGUGACAUAGUUGAUGUAGGAGAGAACAUUCUGUCUGCACUUGCAGACCUUAAUAUUCUCAUCCAGCAGGAGAGAGAGAAUGAACAGACAUUUGUAACCCUGGAGACAUUUGUAACCUCUGACAAAUCUUAUAGAACUAGGACUGUCAUCACAUUGCAUUGCCAGACUUCUGGGUGUGUCUAGAGCAGGGGUAGCCAACUCGGUGCCCGCGGGCACUCAGUCGCCCGCAGGGACAACGUGAGGCGCCCGCCGGGCCCGUUCUAAAAAUAGCUCGCCAAGCAAAUCCAAAAUGUAUAAAAUACACAAAACAAAAAAGGAAAUCAAAAGAAUCUACCCCAUGCAUAAACUAAACCUAAAUCAUAGUGAACUCUAUCUAGUUACUACAACUCUAUAUCUAUCUAACACCCCUCCUCCCCCCACCCCCACAAUGAAUAUCGACCAAUCACGUUCUUGCUUGAUUUGCGGGACCAGCGUUGCAGUCGGGAAGAAAAGCAAUGUGGC
Gymnodraco acuticeps is the source of this 1886-nucleotide RNA transcript. RefSeq lists it as uncharacterized. NCBI's taxonomy places the organism in Eukaryota, Metazoa, Chordata, Actinopteri, Perciformes, Bathydraconidae. The record is from RefSeq and is a predicted model, not a curated record. The transcript is spliced from 2 exons.